AAGCACUGGGAGAUGAAGUGGAUGGUCUUGAAGCUUGAUAGAGGACCUGAGGUGCCUCAGGUAAGGCUAGACACACCAAGGCAAAGUGCAACCAAGACUGCCCUGCUAGUUAGCCCAGUCUGUCCUCACCCUGUUCAUGUUAGGAGAAAAGUCAAUGCAAGUGGUCUGGGGAAAUUGUGGGACAUACAGAAAGCGCAGUGACACAAAACACCUGAUUGAUAUGGCCACCUGGGUUCAGCACAGUUCUGUACCUCUGCUUCAAAGCAAAAACUGGCCUCCUUGAUAAAGGCUACCCUGGAUCAAGGUGAGUACAGGUUGGAGAAUGGGUGUAGAGAAGGUAGGAUGAAUGAACAAGGGAAAGGGUGGGAAGUGUGGGAAUGGAGGGUGGAGAGUAGAGGGCAGGGAUGACCACAAAGUCACCCUGCAUGCAGUCAACACCCAGAAUUCAAAAAGCUGUUGUUCUUUUCUUCUGUGAGUCUGUCUGCUGGCCUCUGUCUAUUAUUUUUUUAGUCUUCCACAAGGCAGACACUGAUCAUUCUCUCUCUGUCCAGAUUUAUGGCCAUCACAAAGAACAAUUCUCAGACAGGGAGCAGGACAUAGGGAUGCCCAAGAAGACAGGCUCCAGUUCUACCGUGGACAGCAAGGAUGAGGAUCACUAUUCUAAAUGUCAAGGUGAUGGGGACUGAGGAAUAAAGAAAUCUGGAGUAGAAACAGGUACAGGGAUUAGGAGAAUAACUUGGGCAUCCCAUUGCACGUACGUACUCCCUGCCCUGCUACAAAAACUCUCCUCUAAUUGUUUUUAAGAGACAGGGUCUCACUCUGUCAUUCAGACUGAAGUGCAGUGGAGUGAUCAUAGCUCACUGCAGCCUAGAACUCCUGGGCUCAAGUGAUCCUCCUGCCUCAGCCUCUCCAGUAGCUGAGACUAUAGGCACAUGCCACCAUGCCCAGCUAAUUUUAAAACUUUUUUUGUAAGGAUGCUGAGGCUGGUCUUGAACUCCUGGCAUCAAGCAAUCCUCCCGCCUUAGCCUCCCAAAUUCCUGGGAUUAGAGGCGUGAGCCACCAUGCUUGGCCCCUCUAAGUAUUAAGGAAAAGGCACCUCUCUUCACCUCCUUCGCACUUUGCCUAUUCCCUGUUAUUCCUCCCACAACUCCAAGAAAUGAGUUUUAGGAAGGAAUUCAAGUAUUCAUGGGGAACUGGGCUUUGGUGCCUUUUGCAGGGGCCGGAGCAGCAAUCAGCAGAGGGGUAAUGAGAAACUCAGUGCAUAAGACAUACGGACCCUGGGGGCCCAAGGCUUCCCCUCCCAUCUUGGGUAUAGCACCCAAAGUAAAGUAGUGACUCGUUAGCUGCUUUUCUCUCUCUCUCUCUCUCUCUCUCUCUCUCUCUGUCUCUACAUAUAUAUAUUUUUGUUUGUUUGUUUGUUUGUUGUUUGUUUGUUUGUUUUUUCCCUCAUCUCUUCCUAGAUUGUAUCCACCGCCUGG
RNAcentral lists this long non-coding RNA (1478 nucleotides) under Homo sapiens (human). RNAcentral's name for it is "HSALNT0130108". Lineage: Eukaryota; Metazoa; Chordata; Mammalia; Primates; Hominidae. The record is from RNAcentral.